Molecule: RNA transcript, 5445 nt
Organism: Oncorhynchus keta (chum salmon)
Lineage: Eukaryota; Metazoa; Chordata; Actinopteri; Salmoniformes; Salmonidae
Gene name: Golgi-associated PDZ and coiled-coil motif-containing protein-like
Exons: 9
Source: RefSeq, a predicted model, not a curated record
UAGCUAUGAUCCGUAUCCGAUUUCCUGGUAGGAUUAGGGUUUUGGGAAAGAACUAAAUACAUUUAUUUUAGCUAGUCUUUUCUGAAAAUAAACAUUGUCGUAUGAUUAGGGCAUUUAGAGUACAGUGUGACUCUGGUAUUACGACUCAGUUAACUUAUACAGGGUGGCGGAAACAAAGCGCUGAUUUUAUUUGUGAAGGGAAUCGGUUAGUCGGCUAGCUUUAGCUUUUAGCCUGCACUGUUGGACAUGUCUGCCUCGGCCGGUGCCUCUCCGUCAGCUCAGGGCACGGCCCUGGUCAGUCCAGGCACGGGGAUGUCCAUGUUUCGGUGGCUUGAGGUUCUGGAGAAGGAGUUUGACAAGGCGUUUGUUGACGUCGAUUUACUACUUGGAGAAAUCGACCCAGAUCAAGCUGACAUCACAUACGAGGGUCGUCAAAAGAUGACAAGUCUCAGCUCCUGUUUUGCUCAGCUUUGCCACAAAGCCCAGACGAUUUUUCAACUUAAUCACAAAGUAGAGGCUCAGCUGGUGGACCUGCGUUCGGAGCUGACUGACGUGCAGGCGGAGAAGGUGGUGGUGGAGAGGGAGGUCCACGACCAGCUGCUCCACCUUCAUGCCAUGCAGCUGCAACUUCAUGCCAAGGCUGGACAGACUGUGGACUCUGACGCCAUCAAAGACAGGAUGCCUGUUCCCUCAGUGGAGGAGAUGGAGAGGGAGCUGCAGGCCAACAAGAAGGAGAAGGUGAAGGAGGUGAAGCUGGAGGCAGAGGUCAAGCUGCAUAAGAAGGAGAAUGAGGCCCUCCGUAGGCACGUCGCUGUACUGCAGGCUGAGGUCUAUGGGGCAAGAUUGGCAGCCAAGUACCUGGACAAGGAGCUGGCUGGAAGAGUACAGCAGAUCCAGCUGCUGGGUCGGGACAUGAAGGGGCCCGCUCACGACAAGCUGUGGAACCAGCUGGAGGCUGAGAUCCACCUCCACCGCCACAAAACAGUUAUCCGGGCCUGCAGGGGGCGCAACGACCCCAAGAAACCCCUAGAGUCUCCAGUGGGGCAUGAAACAGAUAUACUGAAGAAGACUCAAGGAGUUGGUCCUAUUCGUAAAGUAGUGCUGGCCAAAGAAGAUCACGAGGGACUUGGAAUUUCAAUCACGGGUGGUAAGGAACACGGGGUACCCAUCCUGAUCUCAGAAAUCCAUCCUACCCAGCCUGCGGAGCGCUGUGGCGGGCUCCAUGUGGGCGAUGCCAUCCUGGCUGUCAACAGCAUCAACCUGAGGGACGCCAAACACAAGGAGGCUGUCACCAUCCUCUCACAACAGAGGGGAGAGAUAGAGUUUGAGGUGGUGUACGUGGCCCCGGAGGUGGACUCUGACGAUGAGAACGUGGAGUAUGAGGAUGACAGCGGCCAUCGCUACCGCCUCUACCUGGAUGAGCUGGAGGAGGGGUCAGCCGCCAGCAGGAACAAUGGCACAGCAGACUCAGCAUCACUGCAAGGAAAGUUAUCUCUACUGUACCUCAGUCCUGGGAUUUCAUUGAUCAUAAAAAACGCACAUGUAGUUUUCACAGUAGUAGGGCUUUAUUUUCAUGUACUUGCAUUUUAAACAGUGCUUUUACUUCACAUUCACUUGCAUUAUACAAAUGGGGGGUCUUUGUGUUAAUGUGUAAAUGGUAAGCUUGGGCUGUAUCCAGAUUGUCAUACUCAUACUGACCUUGUGCCAUACCCGGAUAUUCAGUAGUACCUGCACUGAGCACAUGGGGUGCCAUUUUGAAACCCCACUGAGCCUUUGAGUACGGAACAAAAAUAUAAAUUCAACAUGCAACAACUUCAAUGAUUUUUACUGAGUUACAGUUUAUAUAAUAAAAUCAGUCAAUUUAAAUAAAUGAAUUAGGGCCUAAUCUAUGGAUUUCACAUGACUGGGCAGGGGCACAGUCCCAGCCAAUCAGAAUUAGUUUUUCCCCAUAAAAGGGUUUAUUACAGACAUAAAUACUCCUCAGUUUCAUCAGCUGUCAGGGUGGCUGGUCUCAGAUGAUCCCGCAGGUGAAGAAGCCAGAUGUUGAGGUCCUGGGCUGGCAUGGUUGCACGUGGUCUGCGGUUGUGAGGCCGGUUGGAUGUACUGCCAAGUUCUCUAAAACAACGUUGGAUGCGGCUUAUGGUAGAGAAAUGAACAUUAAAUUAUCUGCCAACAGCUCUGGUGGACAUUCCUGCAGUCAGCAUGCCCAUUGCACGCUCCCUCAACUUGAGACACCUGUGUUGUAUGACCAAACUGCACAUUUUAGAGUGACCUUUUAUUGUCCCCAGCACAAGUUGCACCUGUGUAAUGAUCAUGCUGUUUAAUCAGCUCCUUGAUAUGCCACACCUGUCAUGUGGAUGGAUUAUGUUGGCAAAGGAGAAAUGCUUACUGACAGGGAUGUAAACAAAUGUGUGCACAACAUUGGAGAGAAAUAAGCUUUUUGUGUGUGUAUGAAAACAUUUCAGGAUUUUUUUUAUUUCAGCUCAUGAAACAUUUAUAUUUUUGUUCAAUAGAGAAUGCUAACAAGUGCAUUGCAAACAUUUUAUACAGUCUCUGACCUAAAGUAUUUGCAGGACAGACAUCGCAGCUCAUAAAGUUAUACAAGUAACUCAAAAAUGUUACUCACAGUUGGCUGCACGCGCAAAACAAAUAUUAGACAUUAAGGCUCUUGAUCCAGGAAGGGAUUCUCUGCUGUUACCAAGCGAUACUUAAUUUUGGAAGACGCUAACCACUUAGCACAACUGAGUAGCAUUUUAGACAGUUAACUUUAUAGUUCUAAGAUAACUAGCUGGCAAACAUUUAGUUGUAACUAGAUCAACUGGCGUAUGCUGCACAACAGUGAGUGACUCACAAGUCUCCAGAUCCUCAUCGUUGUGUGCUUGUAAACAAACACUUGUAAGCUUCAGAAUGAAAAAUAAUGUGACAGGUGAAAUGAACGCAACCUUUUUUAUCACCGAACAUAUUGCACAAGUUGACUACUGGUGUUUACUUCAAAAGCAGGAAAAAAAUAUUCAGUGUAUAAAACAAAUUCAAAGAAAUUUCAACGGUAUUGACGGUGUUAAUAAAAACAUAAAAUCAAUUUUUAUCUGUCACAUAGGCCGAAUGCAACAGAAUAUACCAUGUAGUGAAAUGUUUACUUUACAAGCCCUUAACCAACAAUGCAGUUAAGAAAAAAAUAAAAUAAACUGAAGUAAAAAAAUAAAAAAAAAUUACAAAUAUAGAAGGAAAAAUAACAGUAGUGAGGCUAUAUACGGGGGUACAGGUACAGAGUCAAUAUACGGGGGUACAGGUACAGAGUCAAUAUGCGGGGGCACAGGUUAGUCGAGGUAAUAUGUACAUUGACUAUGCAUGGAUAAUAAACAGAGUAGCAGCAGUGUAAAAUCGAUGGUGGGGGGGAGACGAUGCAAAUAGCCCGGGUAGCCAUUUGAUUAACUGUUCAGGAGUCUUAUGGCUUGGGAGUAGUAGAAGCUGUUAAGAAGCCUCCUGUGGCUAUUUCCAAAUACCCUGAUAUACGGUAUACCGCCCAAGCCUAGCAAAUGGACUUUAGACUGCCACAAUACCAUAUGAGCAUAUGUGAAUGAACAGAAAAUAUGGCAUAUCAGCUGGUACAAGAGUGAUAGAUGCUACAGGAAGGAGAGAGAGUGUAUUCAUGUUUGUCUCUCUAUGUGCUUGCUGCAGCCCUGGAAAAGAUGUCCGUGGGUGACGGCCCAGAGAACGGAGACACAGGGAUCUUCAGUGAGACGCCAUCGGAGGAGACCCCGUCUAAGACUGCUGGGUCCGGAAAGAGCACCUCCUAGAGCGGCGGGGGAGGAUCUGGAGGAAUGGGGAGGGGUGCAGAGGAGGAUGGAGAAGAGCUGAAAGACUGGACUGCACAUGUAUUUUUGUACUAUACUCUAUGAGAUUUGAGAGACUGGACUGCAUCUGAGUCCACUGGAGGAUGUAUGAGGGGAGAAAUGGGGAUAAAGUCAACUCAUCAUUAAGUCGUCAUGGAAACGCACUCAAAGCUCUUUUGAAUUCCUGUUACUAUCAUUCUGCAACGGUGAGGAGCCAAUGAGAGAAGACCACAGAUUGAGGAGAAGAUGUGGGUCUAGAUGAUUGAAUGGAUGGACUAAGUGGUAUUUUUCUGUGUGUAUAGUUACUGAUCCUAUUUGCCCCCGACAUUAAGACGACACUUCCUUACUGUGAGACUGCCCUGCUGGUAAUGAAUACUGUUUUACUAGGCUGAGGAAAUCUUCUCCCUUCAUAAAUGUUGGCUUUUAUUUAUCUCUUACACAUGUAGCUUGUGUAGAGGGGUUUCCCUCAACUGUAAUGUUCAUCUUCUACCACUGAUUAUGAUCUCAUGUUUACUCCCAUGUCAAACCUGCACCGCUCUAAGAUCCACCUACAAGUAGGCUUAGCCCUCAAGUGUUCAGAAUAUAGAACAUUCACCUAUUUCAACUAUUAGGGUGUGCCCUCUGUGUUUGAUCAAUGGUAUCACAGAAUGUUACCAUAGUCCUCAUUACACAACAUUUUCAUUUAAAGAUGGGGCCCUCUGAGCAAUGCAUCUUGUGUGCUACCUCGUUGUCUUCAUACUGUUCAAUGUCCUUGCCGUUUACUCUGAGGUGCACACACACUGGCUAAUGUUCUCUGAAAACAGGUUGUGUAUGACAAAGUUACUGAUAACUCUGGAAGUAUUUCUUUCACAAAUAUAUAUAUAUAUAUAUUACCACAAGCUCCGUUGCCAGAAAUUAGAAGUGCAAUAUCUUUAAACUCAACUAGGAUUUCUCCUUUACCGCCUUUGUUCUUGUCCCUUUUCACGUAAAGUACAUAUCUUGCUUGUCCCUGAAGUUCCUUCUCUGUAUCCACCCUUCUCUAUUACUGGUGUGCUGUGAUCUUGUAUCAGUGGUUGUGUUUUCAGACUCGUUAGGACCCAAAAGAUGACUGACGGCCGUGUCGGCUGCACCGUAUUCUGAUAUUAAGAGCGGUUAUCAACCUGUCUGAGGGAUGGGAGUUUCCAGCUUUAAUCUAUGAAUUUCACACAACCAAAAGGUUUGUGUGCAUGCAAACAGGUUUUUAUGCACUGAAGAUCAAUUUCAAAAUAAAAUCCACAAACUAUCAUCUUUGAGACUAGAAAGUUCUAUGUAUACUAUAUAAAUGUAUUAGCUGUUUUAAACUUGAAAUCAGUGCAUUUCUGUAGAUCAUAUUGGAAUUUAGCUACUGUAGUAGCUAGCAUCUCUCUACUGUACUCAUUACAAAUGUACCCCCAUACUGAGGGCUGAGGGGUUGAGGUGGUCAUGAUGACAACCUGCAGCCUUGUGUUCCAAUCUUGACCUCAUUCAUAGCUAAUCUGCAGUUACUGUUUAUUUAAUUUUUUUAUCUACACUAAACAAAAAUGUAAAUGCAAUAUGUAAAGUGUUGGUCUCAUGUUUCAUGAGCUGAAAUAAAAGAUCCUAGAAUUUUUCCAUA